RNAcentral lists this ribosomal RNA (709 nucleotides) under Viennotia oplismeni. RNAcentral's name for it is "LSU rRNA". It matches the Rfam family "Eukaryotic large subunit ribosomal RNA", at positions 81 to 630 of the family's 3401-position model. The record is from RNAcentral. Lineage: Eukaryota; Oomycota; Peronosporomycetes; Peronosporales; Peronosporaceae.
UAGUAACGGCGAGUGAAGCGGGAUGAGCUCAAGCUUAAAAUCUCUGUACAAAUUUUGUGCAGCGAAUUGUAGUCUAUAGAAGCGUAGUCAGCAUGGACGCUUAGGGUAAGUUCCUUGGAAGAGGACAGCAUGGAGGGUGAUACUCCCGUUCAUACCUGAGUUGUUUGUGCGUAAGACUCGUUUUCUUUGAGUCGCGUUGUUUGGGAAUGCAGCGCAAAGUAGGUGGUAAAUUCCAUCUAAAGCUAAAUAUUGGUGCGAGACCGAUAGCGAACAAGUACCGUGAGGGAAAGAUGAAAAGAACUUUGAAAAGAGAGUUAAAGAGUACCUGAAACUGCUGAAAGGGAACCAAAUCGUUUCCAGUGUCUAUAAUCUAUAGCAUAUUUCAUUGGCGAGUGUGUGCGUGUGUGUGCUGUGGCAGCGGCUUUUUGGCUGCGCUCGGUGCGUUCGCUGUGUGUGCUUGCUGGUGCCCUGUGCUGUAGUGGGACGUCAAGGUCAGUUCGUAUACUGCGGGAAAUGGCUACCAAGGAGGUAGGGCUUACGCUUGCGUUUGUCUGUUAUAUCUUGGUGGACGAGUAGUCGUGGUUGGGACUGAGGUGCCUACAACGUGCUUUUGAGUGAAACUGUGUUUCCGUAUGCGCCGUGUGCAGAUAGCUUGCUAUGUGUAUGUGGUAGUGUGUGGAUUGAUGCGGUUUUCAACUUGUUGCCGUUC